Molecule: ribosomal RNA, 465 nt
Filed under: Vreelandella stevensii
Lineage: Bacteria; Pseudomonadati; Pseudomonadota; Gammaproteobacteria; Oceanospirillales; Halomonadaceae
Description: partial 16S ribosomal RNA
Rfam family: Bacterial small subunit ribosomal RNA
Source: RNAcentral
CCUACGGGCGGCAGCAGUGGGGAAUAUUGGACAAUGUGGGGAACCCUGAUCCAGCCAUGCCGCGUGUGUGAAGAAGGCCCUCGGGUUGUAAAGCACUUUCAGUGAGGAAGAACGCCUGGUGGUUAAUACCCAUCAGGAAAGACAUCACUCACAGAAGAAGCACCGGCUAACUCCGUGCCAGCAGCCGCGGUAAUACGGAGGGUGCGAGCGUUAAUCGGAAUUACUGGGCGUAAAGCGCGCGUAGGUGGCUUGAUAAGCCGGUUGUGAAAGCCCCGGGCUCAACCUGGGAACGGCAUCCGGAACUGUCAAGCUAGAGUGCAGGAGAGGAAGGUAGAAUUCCCGGUGUAGCGGUGAAAUGCGUAGAGAUCGGGAGGAAUACCAGUGGCGAAGGCGGCCUUCUGGACUGACACUGACACUGAGGUGCGAAAGCGUGGGUAGCAAACAGGAUUAGAUACCCGAGUAGUC